Equus caballus (horse) is the source of this 121-nucleotide microRNA precursor. The record is from Ensembl. NCBI's taxonomy places the organism in Eukaryota, Metazoa, Chordata, Mammalia, Perissodactyla, Equidae.
GAUCCUUACUCACCGGAGAUCUAUCCCAGACUAGGCGUCCCCUCUGUCUGCCCCUGCCCCCUGCCAGACAGCAGGGACGGUUUGGGUGUGAGAAUAACAUUUGUUUUGGUUAAAGUAAUAG